RNAcentral lists this ribosomal RNA (603 nucleotides) under marine bacterium SIMO-4416. Its description in RNAcentral is "bacterial SSU rRNA". It matches the Rfam family "Bacterial small subunit ribosomal RNA", at positions 121 to 719 of the family's 1533-position model. The record is from RNAcentral.
UUAAUAUGCCUUUUGGUGGGGGACAACAGUUGGAAACGACUGCUAAUACCGCAUAAUGUCUACGGACCAAAGUGGGGGACCUUCGGGCCUCACGCCAAAAGAUUAGCCCAAGUGGGAUUAGCUAGUUGGUAAGGUAAUGGCUUACCAAGGCAACGAUCCCUAGCUGGUUUGAGAGGAUGAUCAGCCACACUGGGACUGAGACACGGCCCAGACUCCUACGGGAGGCAGCAGUGGGGAAUAUUGCACAAUGGGCGCAAGCCUGAUGCAGCCAUGCCGCGUGUGUGAAGAAGGCCUUCGGGUUGUAAAGCACUUUCAGUAAGGAGGAAAGGGUAGUCUUUAAUAGAGGCUAUCUGUGACGUUACUUACAGAAGAAGCACCGGCUAACUCCGUGCCAGCAGCCGCGGUAAUACGGAGGGUGCGAGCGUUAAUCGGAAUUACUGGGCGUAAAGCGUACGCAGGCGGUUUGUUAAGCGAGAUGUGAAAGCCCCGGGCUCAACCUGGGAACUGCAUUUCGAACUGGCAAACUAGAGUGUGAUAGAGGGUGGUAGAAUUUCAGGUGUAGCGGUGAAAUGCGUAGAGAUCUGAAGGAAUACCGAUGGCGAA